UGCUGGAGGUAUCAGAAGUGCGAAUGCUGACAUAAGUAACGAUAAAGCGGGUGAAAAGCCCGCUCGCCGGAAGACCAAGGGUUCCUGUCCAACGUUAAUCGGGGCAGGGUGAGUCGACCCCUAAGGCGAGGCCGAAAGGCGUAGUCGAUGGGAAACGGGUUAAUAUUCCCGUACUUGGUGUUACUGCGAAGGGGGGACGGAGAAGGCUAUGUUGGCCGGGCGACGGUUGUCCCGGUUUAAGCGUGUAGGUGUGUGUUCCAGGUAAAUCCGGUUCACUUUAACACUGAGGCGUGACGACGAGGCACUACGGUGCUGAAGCAACAAAUGCCCUGCUUCCAGGAAAAGCCUCUAAGCAUCAGGUAACAUCAAAUCGUACCCCAAACCGACACAGGUGGUCAGGUAGAGAAUACCAAGGCGCUUGAGAGAACUCGGGUGAAGGAACUAGGCAAAAUGGUGCCGUAACUUCGGGAGAAGGCACGCUGACACGUAGGUGAAGUGAUUUACUCAUGGAGCUGAAGUCAGUCGAAGAUACCAGCUGGCUGCAACUGUUUAUUAAAAACACAGCACUGUGCAAACACGAAAGUGGACGUAUACGGUGUGACGCCUGCCCGGUGCCGGAAGGUUAAUUGAUGGGGUCAGCGCAAGCGAAGCUCCUGAUCGAAGCCCCGGUAAACGGCGGCCGUAACUAUAACGGUCCUAAGGUAGCGAAAUUCCUUGUCGGGUAAGUUCCGACCUGCACGAAUGGCGUAAUGAUGGCCAGGCUGUCUCCACCCGAGACUCAGUGAAAUUGAACUCGCUGUGAAGAUGCAGUGUACCCGCGGCAAGACGGAAAGACCCCGUGAACCUUUACUAUAGCUUGACACUGAACAUUGAGCCUUGAUGUGUAGGAUAGGUGGGAGGCUUUGAAGUGUGGACGCCAGUCUGCAUGGAGCCGACCUUGAAAUACCACCCUUUAAUGUUUGAUGUUCUAACGUGGACCCGUAAUCCGGGUUGCGGACAGUGUCUGGUGGGUAGUUUGACUGGGGCGGUCUCCUCCUAAAGAGUAACGGAGGAGCACGAAGGUUGGCUAAUCCUGGUCGGACAUCAGGAGGUUAGUGCAAUGGCAUAAGCCAGCUUGACUGCGAGCGUGACGGCGCGAGCAGGUGCGAAAGCAGGUCAUAGUGAUCCGGUGGUUCUGAAUGGAAGGGCCAUCGCUCAACGGAUAAAAGGUACUCCGGGGAUAACAGGCUGAUACCGCCCAAGAGUUCAUAUCGACGGCGGUGUUUGGCACCUCGAUGUCGGCUCAUCACAUCCUGGGGCUGAAGUAGGUCCCAAGGGUAUGGCUGUUCGCCAUUUAAAGUGGUACGCGAGCUGGGUUUAGAACGUCGUGAGACAGUUCGGUCCCUAUCUGCCGUGGGCGCUGGAGAACUGAGGGGGGCUGCUCCUAGUACGAGAGGACCGGAGUGGACGCAUCACUGGUGUUCGGGUUGUCAUGCCAAUGGCACUGCCCGGUAGCUAAAUGCGGAAGAGAUAAGUGCUGAAAGCAUCUAAGCACGAAACUUGCCCCGAGAUGAGUUCUCCCUGAGACUUUAGGUCUCCUGAAGGAACGUUGAAGACGACGACGUUGAUAGGCCGGGUGUGUAAGCGCAGCGAUGCGUUGAGCUAACCGGUACUAAUGAACCGUGAGGCUUAACCUU
RNAcentral lists this ribosomal RNA (1676 nucleotides) under Salmonella enterica. RNAcentral's name for it is "partial 23S ribosomal RNA". It matches the Rfam family "Bacterial large subunit ribosomal RNA", at positions 1271 to 2925 of the family's 2925-position model. RNAcentral also lists the same sequence under 13 other names. The record is from RNAcentral. Lineage: Bacteria; Pseudomonadati; Pseudomonadota; Gammaproteobacteria; Enterobacterales; Enterobacteriaceae.